CAUUUUCUCUCCUCCAUUUCAGAGAUGCGCCGCAAUGCUCCCCCUGCCCUUCCAGCACCUUCUCCGCUCCGAUGGCGUCGAAGCAAAGGAGUUCUCCAACAACAUCGCGUCGGUACGGGCAUUGUGCGCGGCGUGGAAGGAGAACGUGCGACGGUUAUUGCGACGUGUGUGGGGUGUGGCUGCUGAUUUUGCUGCUAGCUGCUAGGGUUUCUUUCUGCCUCUGUUUUGUAUUUUGGACUAGCAGAAUAGGGUUAGCAAUUUGGGCUUGUAACAUUUGUAAUUGGGCCACGUAAAUUAAGAUUUUAAAUGGACUGGACACCUUUGUUUA
Molecule: long non-coding RNA, 328 nt
Organism: Gossypium raimondii (Peruvian cotton)
Lineage: Eukaryota; Viridiplantae; Streptophyta; Magnoliopsida; Malvales; Malvaceae
Exons: 2
Source: RefSeq, a predicted model, not a curated record